UACAGAGGGUGCGAGCGUUAAUCGGAAUUACUGGGCGUAAAGGGUGCGUAGGUGGUUAUUUAAGUCAGAUGUGAAAUCCCUAGGCUUAACCUAGGAAUUGCGUUUGAGACUGAAUAGCUAGAGUGCAGUAGAGGGAAGUGGAAUUUCCGGUGUAGCGGUGAAAUGCGUAGAUAUCGGAAGGAACAUCAGUGGCGAAGGCGACUUCCUGGACUGUAACUGACACUGAGGCACGAAAGCGUGGGGAGCAAACAGG
RNAcentral lists this ribosomal RNA (253 nucleotides) under uncultured prokaryote. RNAcentral's name for it is "partial 16S ribosomal RNA". It matches the Rfam family "Bacterial small subunit ribosomal RNA", at positions 524 to 776 of the family's 1533-position model. The record is from RNAcentral.